AACGAAGGCUGGCGGCAUGCCUAACACAUGCAAGUCGAACGAGACCUUCGGGUCUAGUGGCGCACGGGUGCGUAACGCGUGGGAACCUGCCCUUAGGUUCGGAAUAACUCCCCGAAAGGGGUGCUAAUACCGGAUAAUGUCUUCGGACCAAAGAUUUAUCGCCUUUGGAUGGGCCCGCGUUGGAUUAGCUAGUUGGUAGGGUAAAAGCCUACCAAGGCGACGAUCCAUAGCUGGCCUGAGAGGAUGAUCAGCCACACUGGGACUGAGACACGGCCCAGACUCCUACGGGAGGCAGCAGUGGGGAAUAUUGGACAAUGGGCGAAAGCCUGAUCCAGCAAUGCCGCGUGAGUGAUGAAGGCCUUAGGGUUGUAAAGCUCUUUUACCCGGGAUGAUAAUGACAGUACCGGGAGAAUAAGCUCCGGCUAACUCCGUG
This 433-nucleotide ribosomal RNA is filed under the name uncultured bacterium. RNAcentral describes it as "partial 16S ribosomal RNA". It matches the Rfam family "Bacterial small subunit ribosomal RNA", at positions 29 to 507 of the family's 1533-position model. The record is from RNAcentral.